Molecule: long non-coding RNA, 1239 nt
Organism: Daphnia pulicaria
Lineage: Eukaryota; Metazoa; Arthropoda; Branchiopoda; Diplostraca; Daphniidae
Exons: 6
Source: RefSeq, a predicted model, not a curated record
AAGGAGAAGGGGAAGAAAGCCGACUUGACGUAUACGCCAUCUACCCACCAAAGUACCAAACAGACUUAAGCUUGUCUUGUCAAUUGGUGUCUGCUGCAAGCUGUUGGGGUGACGAACAAAGGUUAAAGUGGUGAAACUAAGAAAAAGUCUGACUGACUAUCUCUACUGCAAAGUUCUCAUAAGUUGGUGGCAACAAAAAUUCCCAAGUAGUGCGUAAGCUUUUUCUUCACAUGAAGCAAAUCCGUUACCUUUUUGAACAAUCGACGUCUUCUGCUCCGUGAAUAACAUUAAUUGACAUUACGCUCAAGAGAGAAACGGUUCAGCGAUAGAUGGAACGAAGUAUUUUUGCAUAGCUUCUCACCUGCAUGGAUGACCUGACGCCUUAGAUCCUGCCUUAAGAAGAGCUGGCCGAUUUGACCGAAACAUAUCACUUCUGGGAUGACCUCACCGCAAGAGAGAAGAUUCUCAAAGUGAACUGCAAGAACCUCAGUUUAGAAUGGAUAUGGGCUUUUAAGUUUUUGGAUUUGAGCACAUCAUCAUAGCUAGGAAUGGGUGGAAAAAAAAAAGAUUUGAAAUUCUGUUUUUCACCUCUCACCAGUCACAAGAUGGAUGCAGUUAAUAUAUUUGGCUCCUUAAGAUUUGGAAUUGACAACACCUUGCCCAGCCUUGACGUCGUUGAAGCGUGGUUGAAGUUGAACCAGACUCUGACAGUUGGGAUUGCUAAAACUCUGACAUUGUUUCGAAAUCUUUGUAGGAUAAUUGCUUCUCGGUUAUUUCCACUGGCUGCUUAAAAAAAACUCCGUUUACGAGUUCAUGGAUGAAGUUUGCCAUACUUCAUGCAUGAUCAGCUGUAUUUGAAGCAGAUUUGAAGUCAUGCAAGCACUACCAGUUAGAGGAAAGCCACUUCUUUAUGUUGCUGGAAGGUGCUGUUGAUUUGUUCCUUUAAGAAGAUUGAUAGUAACUUGCAUUCAAUUUUUUCACUUAAAUUGUGUUUGAAAUUGGUUUACUUUAUUAAGUUGAAAGUUUGUUUUGAUGUCCGAAGAGAUUGUGACAGCCAACUCUUAACACAACAAGGAGAUUCAAUAUUAUGAAAUGAAAGAUGAAAAUUGUAUUGCAGUUAGCGGCUGUAAUUUGAGUCAGCAUUCUCAGCAACAUAACCAAAAAAAUGUGGCGAUAGUGUUUUUAUUAUGAAUAAGUGUGUAACAAAAUAUACAAAAUAAAAGUGAUACUAAAAUUGUG